AAAAACUGAGGUGGUGUAAGAUGGGCCCGCGUCUGAUUAGGUAGUUGGUGGGGUAGAAGCCUACCAAGCCGACGAUCAGUAGCCGACCUGAGAGGGCGACCGGCCACAUUGGGACUGAGACACGGCCCAAACUCCUACGGGAGGCAGCAGUGGGGAAUAUUGCACAAUGGGGGAAACCCUGAUGCAGCGACGCCGCGUGAGUGAGGAAGUAUUUCGGUAUGUAAAGCUCUAUCAGCAGGGAAGAAAAUGACGGUACCUGACUAAGAAGCCCCGGCUAACUACGUGCCAGCAGCCGCGGUAAUACGUAGGGGGCAAGCGUUAUCCGGAUUUACUGGGUGUAAAGGGAGCGUAGACGGAUAAGCAAGUCUGAUGUGAAAAUCCGGGGCCCAACCCCGGAAUUGCAUUGGAAACUGCAUAUCUAGAGUGUCGGAGAGGCAAGUGGAAUUCCUGGUGUAGCGGUGAAAUGCGUAGAUAUCAGGAGGAACACCAGUGGCGAAGGCGGCUUGCUGGACGAUGACUGACGUUGAGGCUCGAAAGCGUGGGGAGCAAACAGGAUUAGAUACCCUGGUAGUCCAUGCCGUAAACGAUGACUACUAGGUGUCGGGAGGCAAAGCCUUUCG
RNAcentral lists this ribosomal RNA (620 nucleotides) under uncultured bacterium. RNAcentral describes it as "bacterial SSU rRNA". It matches the Rfam family "Bacterial small subunit ribosomal RNA", at positions 202 to 842 of the family's 1533-position model. The record is from RNAcentral.